RNA transcript from Anastrepha ludens (Mexican fruit fly), 14168 nucleotides. It is a transcript of the gene named ecdysone-induced protein 74EF-like, with no coding region annotated. The transcript is spliced from 4 exons. The record is from RefSeq and is a predicted model, not a curated record. NCBI's taxonomy places the organism in Eukaryota, Metazoa, Arthropoda, Insecta, Diptera, Tephritidae.
UACACUUUUGUAUCACCAUAUUAUAUUUAUUCUUCGUAAUCGUGAUCAUAACAUUCGAUUUGGUGACACCAAAAAAAGUCUGUGACGGAACUCUGGUAGAAGUAUUAUUUACUAUAUUUUUUCAAGCAGGAAAUUUCUUGGAAUUACCCUCGAGUCCGGGCCCCUCUGAAAACUCCGGGCCCGGGGGAAAAGUACCCGAUCGCCCCCCCUCUCGUCGGGCCUGGUUCUAGUGCUCCGAUCUUUAUGAUUUUUUGAAUUUAUAUUUUUAAGAUGAUGUACUUUUAGAAUAGGCCUUAAACAAAUUUUCCAUUUUUUAGUCCAACACAAGGUAUAUAACCCCUUAAUAAUUUUGUGCAGUGUGGUGUACAAAACAAUCAGGAAUGUGCAGUGCAACGAGACAUUUCUCACAUUUCCAUACAGUCUCGCGCGUACCUGAUAUCUUCAUGGAGACUUUGGUUUACUUUGUGCAGGAGGAAUUUUUCUUGGGAAAAUGUUACCACAGGGAAAAUGUUGCCUAUAAACGCAAUGGUGUAUUAUUGAAAGAAAUCCUUCCGCGUGUUGAAUAUUCACGAAUAUUUACAUUUUGUAGAAAUUCUUCUGCAAUUUUCAACCGAAAUUUUGAGAAUGAAUAUUUCUUAGAAUUUGGAAUUUGUUUUGCUAACUAUGCGAAAUAAAGAUGCUUUUUUACGUUAAUUCAGCAGGCAUACAUUGCACAUCAUUGCCAGUCUGGAGCAGAUAACAAACCGUCGUGCAUUGCAUGUCUUUCCUAGAAAUCCAGAAUCUCGUAGAAAUCCUUCAUUAGGUGUUUGAUUGAGCUUCUCUUCCAUUUUUUGGUGUGUGUCUUGUCUUGUUGCUAAAAUACGAAGCGGUCUUAUGCCCUCUCGAAAAGCAGAUGAUAGAGUUUUGUGGAUGAAAUAAACUCGGAUAGAUUUUUUUGUAGCGCCAAGGGAUUGAUAAAAAUAUUUUCUUUUGAUCUUUCAAGUUCACAGUUCUUGAGUGUCCCACAGAUCCGCUUCUGCUGGAUCGCAUAUCUCAUUCAAAUUCUAACGUAAAAGUUUCAAAUAUUAGUGUCAUACUUUUAAAGCUACCCGCUCAUACUAUGUAGCUUUGCAAAAGCUCUAAACCUCUAUGUUUAAAUGGAAAGCUUCGAAUACUUGUAAAACUAUUCAUGUAAAACCACCCUUAACAGCAGAAUAUGUGCAUAACGGCAAUCUACCCCGACUGUUUCGAUUUCCCCAGCCAUAUUUCGUGGGGUUAUUAUCUUCACCGCGCCUGCGCAUUCGCCAUUCGGAGUCGAACGUCAUCAUCAGACCUUCGUACAAUUUUCUGCUAUAUGUGUCAAUGGGUUUGUUUUUGCCAUGUGGGAGGCAGAUGGGGUGGCAUUGUCCAUAGCGUACGUGUUGACUGUCGGUAUGCAGCGCUGCUUUGGCGCCGCGAUGGGGCGAGUGCGGACAUUCUCACCUGUACAGCGCUGUUUGAUUUCCCCUUCGUCAGUUGGCCGGCCUGUGAGUGCGUGUGUGUAUGCUGUGUGUCGGAAAUGUGCAAGCAGGUGUAACAAUUAUUUUCUCGUUGAUUUUGCUUUGACGCAUGUGCUUCUAUUGAUGUCUGUAAGUGUGCUCAUGCAUGCAUCUCAUUCGCACCUAUUAUCGACUCUAUCUGUCUCGGUUAUUUGGCAUAGUAAUAUUAUUACCCCAACAAUAACAAUGAAACGCAGCGGCAAAGGCAAGCAUCAAUAGCAAAGCGGGCGGGCAGCAUAAGCGUGUUUCCACACAAUGCGGGCGUUUUGUCGUUUUUGAAAAGCGAUGCGAUGCAAUGAGAUGUGGCACGAAGGUGAAAGCCGAAUAAUGGCAAGCUCUGUCGUACCGUUAUCAUUGCUACAAUGGGCACAACCCCCAUGCACAGCCGACCAAGCAUACCUUCUAAAGGAAAAUGCUCGGUUUUCCGACAGUAGCAACUUAGUGCGGGGUAACGCUACACGACAAUGUUUAAGCUAUGACGCAUGCCAUGAUUUUUCAGGACCAACCAGCCGUUCGAACCAAGUGGGUUCGUGUGCACGGCGUGGAUAGGGGUGACGUGGCGGAGCGUGAUAGUCGCAAUAGUGAAUUCAACAGGAUUAUUUCACAUGUAGCCUUCGUGUUGUCGCUGUUAUCGCAAGGUGAAUGGAAACGCUUUCCCUCUCGUUGGCGAUAGCGAAUGUUCAACAACCGGACGCUUUUUGAUAAUAUGAAAUUGCAUGUGAGAGGGGAGGUUGUGUACGUCGUUAGGCAUGAUAUGCGAUUGUUGAUUAUUUAACUUUAGGUUUCCGUGCUGUUAUGUUAUCUGUUAAUAAAUAUGGAUUGUUGGUGUACGUAUGUACAUAUGUAUGUACGUACGAUACUUUAGGAAACAAGACGAACUUAAGAAGAACAAAGAUUAUGAUAGUUGUUCAAACUAAGCUUCGAAAUGACAAUAAUACAAUGUAAUCCAUGGAUAAAAAAUGGUUCUAUUAAAAUUCAUUCGUGUAUUAUGAUUUCGGGUAUACAUUAGAGCUACUGUCAAAUUGAACACGUGUUUUGUAUUUAUACAUUUAACAAUACUCAUUUACACUUCAAAAACUCUAACUCUAACUCCUCCAAUAAAACAAAAUAUAUUAUUAUAUUUGUUUUCCAAUUUCCAAUAGUUGUCAAACUCAGAUCUUAGAGGCGACCUUCAGUUCACGCUACGAUUCAUAUUGAAGACCUUCUGGAAUUCAAAUGGCAGUUUUUUUAGUGGUCUUGUUUAGUUUGUGAAAGAGACAAAAGUCGCAUACAGAGGUGGAGAAAAUAUAUGAGCUGGGUUCUUGUCGAAAUGAUCGCGAGCAAUGGUCGUAAGAGAAGAUUCGUUGUUUGUGAGUAGUUCUUCAAUCCAUAGUGAGUUCAAUCCAUGGCAUCCACUUUUCCUAAACUAGACAUGCUUGCAUAAAGGAGUUUGUCGUUCCAUCUAUUAGGUUCAGUUGCCGAACUCCGUCAGAGUAAAAGUAACCACAGGUCGUUUUACUCUCGCACAGUGCGAGGUCCCAAAAUAAUACAACCUUGGACAGCAAUUUAGAAACGCAAUAUUUGUACCUGUUUUGACUACUUUUCAUUUGUGUUUUUGUUAUUGAUCUAUUUUUUAUAAAAAUAUAGUUUAUUCCACAAAAAAUAUCAUACCGAAAUGUCAAACUUAGUAAAAGAUUUAUAAAAAUUUAAUACUUGAAAUUUUUUUGUUGAUGGUGUUAUGCAUUUUCAUUUUUUUUUAUAUUUUGCCAUUUUUGAAAAGCACUGUUUCACUGAAUGUGAUAAUAACUCGAAUAUAACUUCAAUCGUUUUGGGGAACCCAGCAAUGGAACUCAGUAUAAUCUCAGGUAUUAGUGAAAAAAUUGGUUGUCUUUUGUUCAAAUAUUAAAUUAUUUUUCCUAAAAACAAAAAAAUACAAUUUUUUUCAAAAAACCAAAUUUUUUAAAACUAUAAUUUUUCAUAAUUAUUUCAAAAUUAAAAAAGAUAGUUAAAUGGUAAACUGGUCUGAAGAUAAGCAUCAAUUCAAAACCCUUGUCUCAUUAAAAAAAACGCAAACAAACUUUAACUAAAUUUAAUGAUUCUUUUGAUGAGGAAUACAAAUAUGUGUUUUAUUAUUUGCUUGUUGGUUUGCCUACAAGUUUAAGCAAUAAUUGGUUCCCACUGGGAGAUUGCACGUGAUACAAAUUAAUAACAUUACGCGCUUCUCUUAUAUUGUACAUUCAUCCGUAUAAGAGUAUUUGUGGCUUCGAAGUGUGAUUUACCUUUCCUCGCACGUUGUUGUUCACUAAAAAAUCUUCUUAUUCGAUUAAAAGUAAUACAAAGCCGUCAUUAGCACAACAAAUGUGUGAAACGGUCAAUUGGCAAAUAUCUUCCAUUACAUCUGAGACCAUUUCAAUCAUCGAAAUUCCAAUAGUAGAGAAGGCAUAAAAGAUGUAUUGAAUCGGUUGUGAAGAAACGUUCAACAUUUAUUUCGAAAGAGGCACAACGAAUAUCCAGCACCACUUGAGGCGCUAAGCAGUGCACUGACAAAGGGCAAGAGUUGCUGGCGAUGCCUUUGUGGCUUUGUUAGUGACGAACAGGCAGUAUGUGUUAAUGUAUAGGUGAAAAGAAGAAAUAUUCUAAGCCUGCCAUUGCUCAGUUUUGUUGUUGCGUAGCGCAAACGACAAGAAUGAGCAUCAGGUUAGACAACAGUCAACAACCUGUACGAAUUGGUGAGAACAACCAAAGCAUUAUGCUUAGAAUACUUGAAAAUGAGAACAACAAAUAAGGAAAGUAAGAGAAAAGCAUUGAUAGCCGUGCUCUAUUUCAUUAGCGCUCUUUACUUUAGGAAAUGCUUUGCACUCCGAAAAUGUGACUUCAAAUCUACACUAGCGGAGGAGAGACGAAUAUUUUAAACGACAACAGCAAUCAUCGGCAGAAGAGAAACACAAUGGCACAAUGGCAAAACAUAUGAUAGCACGGUAACCGAGCAGAAGCCGUUCGUCAUCAUUAACGUCGUUUAAGCCGGAAGGUGUACGAGCGAACCAACGAGACUGGCAAGUGUGUUCAAGGUGUGGACGGAGGGAAUGACGGACGGGGAAACACAUAAGCAUGGGAUACCUUCGCCAGCAAGCCGUAUUUGGUUGGCGCAUACAUCGCCUUCGCAAUCGUGAAUGUUGAUGACGAUGAUGAAGAACGGACUAAAUACCAAAAACAUGCACAUAUACACACAGAUGUAGCUCUCAUGCAUACGCUUUCAUAAAAAAGGUGGCCUGAAGAGAGUCGAUUAAGUUAAUCAGGCUCGCAGUAGGCAGGCAAACAACCAUCACACGGUUAUGUGCUUAUUGAGGAUGGUGAUGAUGAUGAUGAUGAUGAUGAUGAUGAUGAUGAUGGUGAUGGUGGUUGUUGGCUAUUCGCGUUAUACGAGCACACGAGCGAAGCGACGAAUUCAACAGAUUCAAAAUCCGAACUCCGAAUGAAAAAUUGGUAUAUUACCUUAGAAUGCCAGUCGUUCUUACUUCAGUCUUCGUACAGUCUUUGCUUUAACCCGUUCCAAUUCUGUCCGCCGUCGCUCUAUUAAAUAAUUACAACAACAACAGCAAAAAAAUCAAGUACAACAAAAAUAAACAAAAUAUCUCAAACAAGCAAAACGAGAAACGCAAAAACAAAAAUUCAAUACUAAAAUUUUACAAAAUUCCAAUACUUAGUAGCUAGCGGUCGCGAAAAUACCAACAAAAGCAAAAACAAAACCGACACUCGCAAAAGGGCACCAGCAGCAGCAGUAGCAACAGCAACAGAAGUAGUGGAGUAGCAACAGGGUCUCAGUUAUCAACAACAUUGCCGUAUUCACCCCCGCUCCAACAUCGUCACCGUCGUGCCGUCACUGCUGUUCUGAACAUAGACGUCGCAGUCGCAGUUAAAGUCAGCGCCAAAGUCGAAGCCCACAGUCAAGCGUCAGCAGUCGAACGUCAACACACGACGACAAAGGCCAGCGAGCAAAGUCAGAGGAGAGGAAGAAGACUCCGCGCAUAGCACACAGAAUUUCAAUAUCCAAAUCAAAGUUGCGUUCAAAUCGAACACGGCCGCAAUAGUAGCAACACCGUAGCACCGAAACACGCGGACUCGACUCUUGAGAUAAUAGCUAACCUUACCUACUAGUGAAUACUACGACGACGACUAAGAUCAAAAUUAGUUAUCAAAGAUAUCAACAGAAAGUUGCAAAAUAUUUUCCGCUUUCCGUUGAAUUGGUUUACCAGUCAUACGAAAUUCGAAUAAUUUCGCAAAUUCAAAACCAGCUUUGAAAAGUUCUUUAGUGCAAGUGCGUGUAAAAAUUUGCGAGCAACAAAAUAAAAGAUUGAAAAACUGAUUGAAGGCCGCUGAGUAUAAGCUAUUGGAACAAUUGCGUUCGAAAAUUAAACAAAUAAAAAAAGUAUUUUUGCAGUAGUUGCCUAAAAAUUGGUAAAUUUCAACACACAAAUUAAUAAAUGCAGUAGCAGCCGCCAAUUAACUUCGUUUUCUUCCUUGACAAAUAAUCUGCAAAAUUUUACUCAGAACUCUUGACACUUUAGCGAAGAGAAAAAAAAACGACAAAUAAAACAGUAAAUCGCAACAGCAAAACUCAAACUAAAAAACCGCGGUGGCAUUUUAUCCUAUAUCAAACCAAAGCUAAUUUCCCCACUCAUAUCAAUCACACUCUCAAGCAUCUCAAAAAGUUUCCAUAAACAAAUCACGAAAAGAAUUAAACCAAAAAGCUGGCAUCUUGUAUUUUGCACUACAGCAAAUUGUUGCUAUUUUUUAAUUAACGAAAAUUGCAUAUUACGUAAAAAUUUCACAUGCCCUUUCUCUGACUGUUGUAUAUUUACAAAAAAGCACUCAUUCUUGAAAAUAGAAAAUCUAUUCUGCAAAUAGACGAAAGCUGCACCAUAGCAAAAAGCUCCAAUAAAAAGAGCCGAUCUCACCAGCCACUUUCGUACGAAGAAUAUCGUAAGAUAUAAUAUUGAAAAAAAAGAAGAGUAUUCGAUGAAAAAUUUACUACAAAUUUACAAACAUUUAAAUUAUUUAUACAAAGCCCAAACCCAAGCGAGGAAAAUAUAAACAAAAACAAAAAAAAUUAAAAAAUAAUUAUAAUAAAAAUUCAAAGCUGAGGCAACUGUUGAGUUGAUAUAUUAACAACAUUUCUGUUAAGUUAACAUUGAAAAAGUUAGCAUAGCAGGCGCUGAUGAAUAACAGCCAAAUACGUGAAAAGUGAAAAUCCAAAUAGAGCACCCAAAUAAUUUUGAAAAAAGAAAAGAAAAUAAUUUUACAGUAAUUGAAAGGUUGUUGAAUAUUUGAUUUUACACACACACACAGAAGGAAAUAUAUAUAUACAUAUAUAUACGUCAAGAGAUCAGAAAAACUCAAAGAAAUAAUUUUAUUAUUACAUAUCAGUGUUAGGACAAUUGUAGUAUUAAACAGGAGGAAGGAAAAAAUUAGGAAUUGUUUAGACAAAAUCGCAAUCAGCAGAUAAUUGUUUAAAACCAAAGUAUUGUAAGAAGGUUGUUUAUGUACCGAAAACAAAAAGAGAAAAAAAAAAAAAGCAAAACAAGCAUCAAAAAAGCAAAUAUAUCAACCAAAAUCAACACAAAAACAGCAUUGUAAUCAAAGUCAAUUUCGAAGCAUAUUUAUAGGCGUGACAACCGCAUAGCAUAGCAAACAAAUUGUCAAUCAGAAAUGCGCAUUAUUUGAAUAGUGCAACAAUUCGGCACUCUCUCGAACUCAUUCUUUUUGUGAAAUAUUUCCAAGCAAAGCAAAAACAAAGAACAAAAAACUAAAAAAGGAGAAACCAAAACCCGAAAAUACAAAGUAAUUUAACUGAAGAAUUUACUUAUAUUUAAUUAAGUGUUUAGCAGCGCGCGUGAGUGUAUUUUCUGCGGCACCCAUUUAGGCAUAAUACAGUAAGAUUCAAUAUUUUUAAGAACCCCUUCAGCUUUGGUGCAACAAUCAACGCACCAAACUGACAAGAAAGUAAGCGUUUUGACAAUCAGCAGACGUUAGCAUAUAUAUACAUACAUACAGAUAAAUACAUGCUUGCAAAAGGUAUUUGUAUGGGAGAAGUAUUUAUGAAAGUAGAAAAAAUUUAACGGAAUCAAUAGAAGUAUUAGAAAAAAACUCAGCAUUGUAUUUGCUAUUUUCACUCAAAAGCAAAAAAAAAUAAAUAAAUUAAAAGCAGUAAUCAGCAACUUGACUCUAUACAACCUUACACAAUCAAUCUUUACAAAUUCUACAAUCCAAUCUCUUGAACAAACCAAUUCUGCGACCUACAAUCUCAAACUAAAACGCGCUGUGUGAUCUAUUAAGGAGAAGAGAGUGGCAAUUCUUUUAACCUAAAUCGAUCUUAAAUCUUAAUCUAAACUUGACAAUCCGUAAGCCCCAUAUUUGUGAAAAUAAAUAUUUCUAAGACCUCUACUUGCUAUACAAAAACAAAAACAAAAAACACUACAUUUUACUACUCUUUGUAAACAUUAAAUAUUUAAAAACGAAAAAACAAAAAACAUACGUACUUCGAUAUUUCGAUACUAAAAUAGCUCACUUGCAUACAUACAUACAUACUAACUAAUUCAACUUACUAACAUAUACAACUAACUGUAUUUCCGUAUUAAAUAUAUUUACUAUUUGUAGCGCAACCUUGACGUGAUUUAUAGAACUAACGCAUAAAUUUACAGUAAAAAAACAACUAAAAAAAAUUUCAAGUAUUGAAAAAUACUAAUAAAGAGAAACUUCUGCACAACUUAUUGACAAUCUUUCACCCAACAUCUAUUUAUCAAUAUCUAUUUUAUCAAAACGUAUAUAUAUCUAUACAUACAUAUAUAUAUACACAUAUAUAUCUACAUAUAUAAAUAUUUCUAGCCGUAAUCAACCAUUUGUGGUAUCUACGUACACGUGCAUUAAACGCCCGCGCUGUGUCUAUUCAAUCACACACUUGUGACAAUCUACAGUUUUCUUGAAAACAAAAAACACUAAUACAAGUCAAAAUUGGCAAAUAUUAUUUAAUCUGAAGCGUUUCAGACUUUUACCUUCAAAGCAAAACUCAUACACGAUUUUAGCAAACUAUCAAUUACAUAUAAGAUAUUUCGCUUAUUAGUUUUACGCAAAAACGGUGAAUAAGGAAACUAUUUCCAAGCACUACAUACAUACAUUUAAUCAAAAAUUUUAAAUCAAAAGCAAAAAAAAAAUACUUUUUUUUAAAUAAAUUUCGACUUUGUAGUUACAAUAAACAAACAAAAAAAAAAAAUUAUAGUAGCACCAACUUUGUAGUAUUAUCAUAGAGAAUUAAAAAAAGUGAGAUUACUUUAGCGUACAUAGCGUUUAAGUAUCAGCAUAUCAAUUAAAAAAAAAAAAAAAACUCAAAAAAGAAGAGCACAAAAAUUAGCUAAAAAACAACCCCAAGUAUUGUAAAGCAACAAUUUGUGUACGAAAAGAAGUUUUCAAAACCUUUCCAAAACAUCAAACACAAUCAUCACUUCGUAUUCACAAUCAUUGAACAAAUCAAGCCAACCUUGUGAAUCCUUGCCAUCCUUUCAAUCCCUUAAAACAUCCUGUGCAUGCCACACGCAACUCGACUACAAAGCCAACAAAGUGUAAUCAAAAUCAACAGAAAAGCGCGCUGAUAAAAGAAAAACAGUCGAAAUUACUACGACAAAUUCGCAAAACGAAAGAAAAAUAACAACAAACAUAAGAAGGUGCAAAAAAAAAAAAACAAAAAGCAACAAGCAAAAAAAACAAAAUACAACUACAAACACAGAAAAAAUAAGAAUUUUAAAAUAACGCGCAAAAUCAGAAUCACAAAAAAACAAAAUAGCUAAAAUAAACGCAUAUAAAAAUUAUCAAUUAAAAGAAAAAAAGGUUUUAAAUAAAAAUAAAAAUAUAAGUCAGACCAAACUAAAGAACUUCCUUAAAGACAAUUCUACUAUCCACUCAGUGUCACUGUGCUAUAGUGAAAACUCAAGUGUGUAAAACCUACUGAGCUACACGCAAAAAGAAAACUCAUUGAAAAAUUUAUAAGUCACAUAAUUCGACAACAAUAACAGCAGUAUAAAAAAAGCAUUCAUCAUUGACGCGUUAAAAGAAACAGUUGCAACAACAGCUUCAGUAACAGCGGCUUUGGCAACAGCAACAAUCAAAGAAGAACCUGUAAAAGAUUUAAUUAUGGUAAGACUCGAUGAACAACUUUUAUGUAAAUUAAAUAAUUUGGUAAGCGAAUAAUUUAGUAGAAUAAAAAUAUGUUGAUGUGAAUAGUGUUGGAAAAUAUUAGGAUACUAUUCAGCCAUGGUUGAUAUGCUGCUUGCGCUGUGUUUACCCACAGGGCAGCCGUAGAUUUAAAAUCUGUGGCGGAUGAGUUCACAAAAACAAAAACAAAGCAACCAAAUUUUCCAUUUUUAUUAUUAUUAUUAUUCACAAUUUGAAGACCUUUCUAAGCUUCAAAAAUCUAUUGAACAACCGAUUUUUAUUUUUGCCUUAAGACAAGCUCGAUUCGUUUCUAGCACUCAAAAAAUUUGUUAAAAGAUAUUUCUUCUUUCGGGGCUUAAGCGAUGUUCAAUGGCCUUCUAGUCCCAAAGAAUCUUUUCAAAAAUAGUUUGUCAUUUUUUAAGAAAUGUUCGAUAGGAUUUUUUAAGCAAUAUUCCUCCUAAUUUGGAGCUAAUCAAUCUUCUCUUUUGGGCUUAAGCGAUGUUCGAUGGCCUUCUAGUCCCAAGGAAUCUUUUCAAAAAGAGUUUGUCGUUUUUUAAGAAAUGGAGCUAAUCAAUAUUCUUAACCUUGCUUGUCUUAGGGUGACCCAAGGCAUAAUACAACUGUUUAUGACUACAAGAAGUUUCACUGCGCACAGGGUAAAUUUCUAGCCCAUUUCUUCUGGUUGAAGUGAACCGCAUUAUUAAACGUCGAGUACUUUAGCCUUUGAUCUUUAUAUUUCUGUAGAGUGAAAUACGAAUUAACAAAAGACAUCUCUAUGGUUUUGUCAGUUAUUUAACUCUAAUUUCUGCAACAAAAUACAAUAAAUAGUGGAAAAAACAUAAAAUAAACAAAAAGUAAUAAAUAAAAAUACAAAAAAUAAUAAAUAAAAAUAUAAGAAUAUAAAAAAACCAAUAAAAUGAAAAAAUAAAUUCACUAAUUAAAAAAAAAGGAUAGAAAAACUAAAAAAACAUCGAUUCUAUCCCUUCUUAAUAAAUAAUUUCAAAUGAGCUCCAAACAACUAUCUAGCUGAUAAAUUCUUUCUGUAACAACAAAUGUGAUCCCUAUGCAUAAAUCGUGGGACACACUUUUUUUAUUGUCUAGGGAAAAUUUCGCAUGCACAUGAAAAACUAUAGAUCUUAUAUACUAACGAGUCAUAUUCAGGUUUUAAAUAAGUUUAAUAUUUUAAAGGACUUUAAAGUUUGAAAAGACUAUAUGAAAAAAGUGUGAUUUUUUGAAGAUCGUUUUUUUUUUUUUGUUUUGUUUUUUUUGUUUGAAGAAUAUGAUUUUUUGUUUUUAGAAGAUCGAUAAAAUUUUGCCACAUUCCGUCUUCAAAUUGAAGCUUAAUAUUUAAUUACAAGGACCGCUAUUUCUUUUACGUGCUUACGAAAUUUUAAGAUGUGCGGUCGACAGUUUCACGCGCAAGUUGGAUAUUUCCGGAAUACAAAAGAGGAAUUCACAGAGAGAAUGUUGGUUCAAAUCUCGAUGAAACCAAAAUUAAUAAAAAAAAAAUUUUUCUAAUAGCGGUCGCCCCUCGGCAGACAAUGGCAAACCUCCGAGUGUAUUUUUGCCAUGAAAAAGCUUUUCAUAAAAAUAUCUUCCGUUCGGAGUCGGCUUGAAACUGUAGAUCCCUCCAUUUGUGGAACAACAUCAAGAUGCACACCACUAAUAGGAGGAGGAGCUCGGCCAAACACCCAAAGAGGGUGUACGUGCCAAUUAUAUCUAUAUAUAAAGAUAUGCAGGCCGGUUUUGUAAUUCACCUCCAAGUGAAAUCUUUUGGCAAGUGCAUUGAAACUCACUAGGAAAUUAAUUUUAGAGCCAUCACGAUAGGUUUGGUUUAAGCUUCUUAACAUCUACCUAUUUUAGUGGAGCCAAAUUAGGCGAAAGCAAUUCAAAAAUAUGCGAUUGAUCUAAAAAAUAUUGUAAUAUUGUAGUCGAGGUAUUUCGCAAGACGCCUCUAACGUCAUAUACGCAUUUGAUGCACUUUGUACUACCAGGCUCACAAUCGGUCCAAAUAGUCAUCAUUGUUCGUUUGAAAUUUGUUUUAUAGAAAUGAAAAUUCGCUUGCUAAAAACGUUUGCCCCCGGCGAGAGCUAAAACAUUAUUCAGAACAGCUUGAUAAAAUACAUAGAAAAACGUGGCUUCGAUCUCUUCAACACAUCAGUACGCAAGUUGAACAAUACAUUCAAAGAUUUCUUUUGCCUGCCAACGUCAUUUGAAAUUGGCAAAUCGUGGCUUAUUUGUUGCACCUUCUUCGUUUGCGCUUACCGUUCGCUUAGCAAAUUCCUUUUAUUAUUUCGCCUGCACGAGUGUGUGUGUGCGUGUACUUGCGAAUCUGUGGCAUUAACCUACCAAUUGCCUUUUUGACCCACCACACCUUUCACCAACUCACUGCACUACACUGCUGACACCGCCGCACAAAAUCUUAUUCACACACUAAAGCACCUUUGGAAUUUCAUACCUCCAGUUUCAAGCACAGCAUAGUGAGCACUAUAAUUGAAUUUUAAAUAAGCCCAUCCAUUUACUGAGUUACCUACAUGCUCGCAUUUGCCAUUUUUGUUGCUCUCGUAUGCUGGUGUGUUGUGUGUAUGUUGAUUGCCAUUACUUGCUUAUAUGUGUACUGUCUACAUUUAACUGUAAAUAAAUUUAGUAGAUUUUUCUUACGAACUUACCAUCAACCGAGUACCUGGCACUUAAACUAUCGCAUUUUAUGUGGUACUGUGCGUACAGCUCCCAAAAGUAGUGUGGCAGCAGCAGCAGCAGCAAUAGCAGCUUUCGCAGUCAGGUUCUUAUGACUACUUGGGUAUAUGAAAUACUCGAGUUCACAUGCAUACAUACAUACAUACAUGCAUAUAUUUAACUCAUAUUUGCCGCUAGUGUGGCUUCGAGCAAUGCUUUAGUGCAUAUAUACAUGCUUAUACAUAUAUUUCUGCAGUGUAUGCGCUCGUGUCGCCAACAAACCAACCAGUUAGCGAACGGCCAACCUGUCGUAUACGUAAUGUAAUCUCAUUGGACGGGUGCUGUGCACUACUUAAAUUCGUACGUUUGCCGACUAUUUCGUGCUUUCCUUCGUUCUUAUUAUUGUUGUGCAUGGCUGUGGCAUUUUCAGCAUCUUCGUGCACUUCAUUUCAGCGUAAUUCACUUAUGUGAGUACCUACACACACUUAUGUACACACGAAUACAUACAUGCAUGUAUAUGGCCCAUGUGUUGUGCUCUUGGAUAUGUGCUUCAAUUGAUUUUGGUGCUGCAUUGGCAUUCUUGCUAUCGUUCUUCUUCUUCCUAUUUUGGCCUCUAAAUUGACAGUUAAGAGUGUAUUUUCUGCAGCUUACUAUUUUUUACGGUUCAAUAACAGGAUUUGCACUCAGCUUAUAUGCGAUUUUCUUGUGAAAAUGCACUGAAAUUUUAUUUUAGUUUUUUCUCUUCACUUCUUUUGGGCUAUGUAUGGCACCGAAGAUACUUCGAAUUUUGUCUAUGGAAACGUUUUUUUGUUAUUACCUCAUAGGAUGGGUAAUGAAAUGCAGCUAAAUUAAAUAAUAUGAGUUGACUGCUGUGAGGUUUGGAUAUACCUAUAAAGAAAAUGGAGACUUAAAAAAUUGGGUGGCAAGCAUAAUGUGCUAAAUAUGACUUCGUAACUUCUACAUUGUGAAUGCAAUCGAAAGGUUUUAUAGUUUUUGGAAUUACCAACUCGUUUUCAUUUUAAAUUAGAAGAGGGUUGUUAUACGAUACGACUGUUGGGUCGUUGCUAAUCUUUUUGUACCCCCACACGUCCAUCGUUUUUUGAACUUAGUCCGUCACUACGUGCCAAUCGCAGAUGUGUAUGAAAAUUGAGCAGAACUCAAUCAAAAUUUACUGCGUUAGGCAUAUUCCACAUUUGCUAUUUAUUUCGUUGUCAUGGUUUCUUCGUCAAUUCUGCCAAAAAUUGGUGAAUUUGUAGGCUUGAGUAUAAUAAGAAGCAAAUUUAAAAAAAUUAAUGAAAAUUUAAUAUUUUUUCUUUUCUUUGUAACAUUUUUUUAUGAUGUAUGAAGUGAACUGUUUUUUGGGAAAAGAAAAAUUAUUUUGAAACUUUCACGGCUUAAUGAGCACAGCCUUAGCUGAAAAUAGGAAUAAUAACUAAAACAUAUGAGUUUGUUUUGAAAAAAAAAAAAAAAAAAAAAAAACACAAACAAAAAUAAAAAUGUUUUUCCGAAUUUUUUUAACAAUUAUUUUUCCCAAAAAAAUUAUAUUUCAAAAAGCUACAAAGCUAAAAAUAUACCUAAAAAUAUUUAAAACAAUGGAUAGCAAAAUUUCCAAAAUAGAAUAAACCUCAAAAAUUCUAAAUGUUUUCCAAAAUUUUUUCAUUUUACUGCUUACGAGUAUUCUAAUCAAAGUCCUAAAAUACGGAAAUUUUUAGAAGAAUUGUCCAAAGUGCUUGGAUCCAUUGGAAUCGUUCGCGUCAUACAAAAAAAAAAAAAAAAAAAAAAAAAAAAAAAGAU